Molecule: ribosomal RNA, 873 nt
Filed under: Microbacterium trichothecenolyticum
Lineage: Bacteria; Bacillati; Actinomycetota; Actinomycetes; Micrococcales; Microbacteriaceae
Description: bacterial SSU rRNA
Rfam family: Bacterial small subunit ribosomal RNA
Source: RNAcentral
CCAUGCAGUCGAACGGUGAGCCAAGCUUGCUUGGUGGAUCAGUGGCGAACGGGUGAGUAACACGUGAGCAACCUGCCCUGGACUCUGGGAUAAGCGCUGGAAACGGCGUCUAAUACUGGAUAUGAGCUUCUACCGCAUGGUGGGGGUUGGAAAGAUUUUUCGGUCUGGGAUGGGCUCGCGGCCUAUCAGCUUGUUGGUGAGGUAAUGGCUCACCAAGGCGUCGACGGGUAGCCGGCCUGAGAGGGUGACCGGCCACACUGGGACUGAGACACGGCCCAGACUCCUACGGGAGGCAGCAGUGGGGAAUAUUGCACAAUGGGCGGAAGCCUGAUGCAGCAACGCCGCGUGAGGGAUGACGGCCUUCGGGUUGUAAACCUCUUUUAGCAAGGAAGAAGCGAAAGUGACGGUACUUGCAGAAAAAGCGCCGGCUAACUACGUGCCAGCAGCCGCGGUAAUACGUAGGGCGCAAGCGUUAUCCGGAAUUAUUGGGCGUAAAGAGCUCGUAGGCGGUUUGUCGCGUCUGCUGUGAAAUCCCGAGGCUCAACCUCGGGCCUGCAGUGGGUACGGGCAGACUAGAGUGCGGUAGGGGAGAUUGGAAUUCCUGGUGUAGCGGUGGAAUGCGCAGAUAUCAGGAGGAACACCGAUGGCGAAGGCAGAUCUCUGGGCCGUAACUGACGCUGAGGAGCGAAAGGGUGGGGAGCAAACAGGCUUAGAUACCCUGGUAGUCCACCCCGUAAACGUUGGGAACUAGUUGUGGGGUCCUUUCCACGGAUUCCGUGACGCAGCUAACGCAUUAAGUUCCCCGCCUGGGGGAGUACGGCCGCAGCUAAACUCAAAGGAAUGACGGGACYCGCACAGCGCGAGCAUGCGAUA